Molecule: long non-coding RNA, 244 nt
Filed under: Lonchura striata (white-rumped munia)
Lineage: Eukaryota; Metazoa; Chordata; Aves; Passeriformes; Estrildidae
Description: domestica (Bengalese finch) lncRNA (ENSLSDG00000003800.1)
Source: RNAcentral
CCGGCAAGGGAGCGGCGGGGAGCGGGGAAAACCAACUCCGACACGUCGGAAGGCUCGAAUUCAGGGCGAAACCUCUCCCCCGAGGCUCCCUCGGUGUGAAGCAGAUGGAUCCUGGAGCCCAUCCCAGGCUGUAACUCUUGUUCAGGAGCCAGACAGGAAAACUGCAGGCAAACCAGACCCACAUCUCCCAACCUGGACAUCUGCAUGCCAGCCUGGGAGUCACUCAGGUUACAUCACCCUGCAG